UAAUGAAAAACAAUUCCCUCCAGAAGAAGAUAAAGUUUUCUAAUGUUUACGUGGCUUGUGGAGAACUGAAGACUACCUAGUUUCUGAUUUAUUGAGAGCAAAAAAAAACUAAAAUAAUUGUUAUUAAAUAGAGAUUUCAUAUAAAACUUGUAUGAUUCCUAAAUCUCAGUAGGAGCCACUGGCCCUGAGGUAUUCUGACAACAUCAAAUGUGGCCCUCUUUGAAAGAAGUUUGGACACCACUGCCUUAGUGGAUCAGGGUUAAAGCACAGCAGCAUUGCACUGGUAGGAAAAUCUCAGUUUGAUUAUCAGCUAGGUAAGUAAUCUGAUACUACAUCAGUAAAAGUGAAAUAUUGCUUUACAUGACUUAAAAUUUUAACACUUAUCUGAAGACUGACAUUAAGGGUCAAGGAAUGCAAGUAGCGUCGACCCUGCUCAUAUUUACACAACAGUCCGAGGCUUAACAUAUUUUUCAUUUCAUUUUAUGUUUUGUUAUUGUGGAUACAUUCCUAUUGGCAAACCACAGUGUGUGUAUUUUGAGCUGAGCUGAAUAUGGGUACCAAAAAACAUGGUCACUCUCUGCACAGAGGGGGAACAUUCCUCUCUCUUAAAGAAUCCGAGGCUCUGCACAGUCAGACUGAGUCCAGCUGACUGCCACAACCGCUGGAUUCGGCUCUCUGGCUGCCCAAACCAUGCUGCUACUGGAAGCUGGACAAUGGUGGGAAGGCUACCCGCAACUAUUUUUCCUUGAGUCUGACAACACUAUCAACAUGAUGUUCAAGACAGAUACAUCUGUGUAAUGAGGAAGUCUCUGUUCUUCAUGUAACCAUCAGAUUUUCAGGCCACUUUUGUAACAAUGUGCCUCAGCUUGCAGACAGAUGUUAAUACUGAUUCUUUUUGGGAUAAACAUGUUUUUUCAUCAUGUUUUAUGACAGUGGAAUGAACAAAGGUAUUAAAACUGUUGAAAAUUA
This is a long non-coding RNA of Notolabrus celidotus (New Zealand spotty), 969 nucleotides long. RefSeq lists it as uncharacterized. The record is from RefSeq and is a predicted model, not a curated record. NCBI's taxonomy places the organism in Eukaryota, Metazoa, Chordata, Actinopteri, Labriformes, Labridae. The transcript is spliced from 2 exons.